CAGCCGCCGCGGGAAUACGGAGGGGGCUAGCGUUGUUCGGAAUUACUGGGCGUAAAGCGUACGUAGGCGGCUUUGUAAGUUAGAGGUGAAAGCCUGGAGCUCAACUCCAGAAUUGCCUUUAAGACUGCAUCGCUUGAACGUCGGAGAGGUGAGUGGAAUUCCGAGUGUAGAGGUGAAAUUCGUAGAUAUUCGGAAGAACACCAGUGGCGAAGGCGGCUCACUGGACGACUGUUGACGCUGAGGUACGAAAGCGUGGGGAGCAAACAGGAUUAGAUACCCCUGUAGUCCCUGUCUCUUAUAC
This 301-nucleotide ribosomal RNA is filed under the name uncultured bacterium. RNAcentral describes it as "partial 16S ribosomal RNA". It matches the Rfam family "Bacterial small subunit ribosomal RNA", at positions 509 to 807 of the family's 1533-position model. The record is from RNAcentral.